This 1020-nucleotide long non-coding RNA is filed under the name Anser cygnoides (Swan goose). RNAcentral describes it as "lncRNA (ENSACDG00005002513.1)". Lineage: Eukaryota; Metazoa; Chordata; Aves; Anseriformes; Anatidae. The record is from RNAcentral.
AUGCGGAGCGCGGUGGGACUCGUGAUGAAAUGCAGAAUUGGCAGCGCUCGCUCCAUUGUGCUCCGCGGGCCGAGCUCCGAAACGAGCUCCGAAGCAGCCUGCCCUCCCCUUCUCCCGCGGCCCUGCGGCUCCCGUCGCCUCGGGCUGUUUGUGCUGCGGAGGCUGUGUUUUUUUGGCAUCCGGGCUUUCGUGCGCAGAGCAUCGGCGCUAGCAAUAGUAUUAAUGAUUAUUUAUUGGUUCUUAAUGCCAAGUAAUGUAAACAUCUGGCUAAUGCAGCGCAAAUGUGCUGGUGCGGUGGGACGCGGGCUUAUCUCCCGGCGUUCAGCGCCGGGCUCGCAGCACUUCAUGAAUUACUCAAAGGAGGUGGCGUUGCCUUACAAAUGGUGCCUUGUUUUGAUAAACUUUCCUCAAGGUAGAGAUUCCGAAACUGCUUCGCUGCUGACCUUCCUGUUAAUUAUUGCCGUGCGGCACCAGGGCUGUCAGGUGAAAGGGAGGCGUGGGGCGCUGCUAGCCGCUGCUCUCAGCCCAGGAAAAUGCCUUCUCCCUCGCGCGCCUGUCCCUGCGCAUUUAUCGAGCUCCGCUGCGCUCCUUCCCCCCGCCUGGCGAAGAAGAGCCUCAGUUCCUACGACCUAUUUUGAGGCUGUGGCUCUGACCUUGAUUUACACCGGCAAUAGGUAUCGAUGCUGGGUUUUUUUGUUUUGGUUUUUUUUUCAGGCUAACUGUAAUAAGGGUAAAUGUAGCCUGAUGAUAAAGGUGCCGGGAAGAAGAGGGAGCAAAAUGGCUCGCCUCGUGUUGCUGGCUGAUGGGCGCAGGUUCUGCUGCUCCGCAGUUUCCCCUGCUUUUAGCCCUCGACAAAGCUUGGUGAGAAGGAGAAAGGAAAACGUGAACGGAGAGAAAUUUACGACUCCCGUGCUUUCUCUAGUGCUUCUGAAGGUGAGAGUCGAGUCACUUUGCCAUGUACAAGCUCAGCAAGUCCAGACCAUCCCCAGAGAGUUUCUGAAGCCGUGCGGGGAGAAAUAA